RNAcentral lists this ribosomal RNA (411 nucleotides) under uncultured bacterium. RNAcentral's name for it is "bacterial SSU rRNA". It matches the Rfam family "Bacterial small subunit ribosomal RNA", at positions 505 to 916 of the family's 1533-position model. The record is from RNAcentral.
GUGCCAGCCGCCGCGGUAAUACGAAGGGGGCUAGCGUUGCUCGGAAUUACUGGGCGUAAAGGGAGCGUAGGCGGAUAGUUUAGUCAGAGGUGAAAGCCCAGGGCUCAACCCUGGAAUUGCCUUUGAUACUGGCUAUCUUGAGUGUGGGAGAGGUUAGCGGAACUCCGAGUGUAGAGGUGAAAUUCGUAGAUAUUCGGAAGAACACCAGUGGCGAAGGCGGCUAACUGGCCCAUUACUGACGCUGAGGCUCGAAAGCGUGGGGAGCAAACAGGAUUAGAUACCCUGGUAGUCCACGCUGUAAACGAUGAGUGCUAGUUGUCGGUGCGCAUGCGCAUCGGUGACGCAGCUAACGCAUUAAGCACUCCGCCUGGGGAGUACGGUCGCAAGAUUAAAACUUAAAUGAAUUGACGG